AUGACUUUGAUCUGCGUCCUCAUCUGGACUCUCCUCUGCUGCUGCUUCACAGAGUCCAGAGGCCAGGUCACAGUGACUCAGCCUGGAUCAGUGAGGUGUGGUCUGGGAGGAACUGUCACCAUCAACUGUAGAACCAGUCAGAAUGUUUAUUACUACAGCGACUAUUACAGCACCUACCACUAUUUAGCCUGGUACCAACAGAGAGAUGGAGGAGUUCCUAAACGUCUAAUUUAUUAUACUAGUACUAGAGCAUCAGGGAUUCCACAUCGUUUUUCAGGCAGUGGAUCAAACUCUGAUUUCACUCUGACCAUCAGUGGAGUCCAGACUGAAGAUGCAGCAGUUUAUUACUGUCAGAGUCUUCACAAUCCCAACAGUCAGUAUGUGUUCACACAGUGA
Mugil cephalus (flathead mullet) is the source of this 396-nucleotide non-coding RNA. NCBI's taxonomy places the organism in Eukaryota, Metazoa, Chordata, Actinopteri, Mugiliformes, Mugilidae. The record is from the annotation of a RefSeq genome assembly.